UACGGGGGGAGCAAGCGUUGUUCGGAUUUACUGGGCGUAAAGGGCGCGUAGGCGGCGCAACAAGUCACUUGUGAAAUCUCCGGGCUUAACUCGGAACGGUCAAGUGAUACUGUUGUGCUAGAGUGCGGAAGGGGCAACUGGAAUUCUCGGUGUAGCGGUGAAAUGCGUAGAUAUUGGGAAGAACACCUGAGGCGAAGGCGGGUUGCUGGGCUGAUACUGACGCUGAGGCGCGAAAGCCAGGGGAGCAAACGGG
RNAcentral lists this ribosomal RNA (253 nucleotides) under uncultured bacterium. Its description in RNAcentral is "partial 16S ribosomal RNA". It matches the Rfam family "Bacterial small subunit ribosomal RNA", at positions 524 to 776 of the family's 1533-position model. The record is from RNAcentral.